Molecule: long non-coding RNA, 1919 nt
Organism: Lytechinus pictus (painted urchin)
Lineage: Eukaryota; Metazoa; Echinodermata; Echinoidea; Temnopleuroida; Toxopneustidae
Exons: 3
Source: RefSeq, a predicted model, not a curated record
AUUUAUUAUGGAAUUUUUUCGAUUAUCUCACUGUUGUGAUACGACUUGUAGCAAAAGGUUGACAUUACAAAUUUUUCAGAGCCAAGGAUAUAUAUCUAAUAGGAUCAUGAGAUUAGAAAUUCAAGACAUUUGCAUUGAAGUUCAAAAUGAUUAUACCCCUAUAUAUGGGAUAGAAUCGUCUACUACUCCAGCCACUCCAUACUUCUACGGCGACAACCCGGAGGUAGUAAACCUAUACUACCAUAGAGAUACGCUACUCCAAUUCUAUGUUGGUGGCGAUUGUCAAAAGAAAAUAAUGGGCCGAGUACUCCGGCCAAACGGUACAGAAACGGUAGAGUUUCCUAUCGAAGGGGAAACUGUCGGUAGACACACCCGUGCGCUUGUCAAAGUGUGGCUAAAACUACCAUAUGACCCUCAGGCAGCAGGAAGUAAAAAAGAAUGGCACUUGAUCAUUCGGUAUUUACAAAAUGGCGCUCCAUUCACUAGCAGAAGAAUUGUCAAGAUGUAAAAGGUAGCGGCUGGUCCUUAUUGACUGUUGGAAGAUAACUUCUAUGGGUGAUUUUUUCAUCACGACGCCCACUCCACUCAGCAUGGGAUAUACUGAAUAGUUUGCAUCAUGUAUAAAGUUUAGAAAUCACGAACUGUGUAGUACAGCUGCAAGUUUUCCGAAAGUAAUCUUUAUCGUGCUGUAUAUUAGUAGAUGAUUAUGAUCAUUAGUUUAAUUUGCGAGGGGGGGGGGGUGGGAAUAAUUUACAUAUCAGUUAUUCAGUUUUUGUACUAAAACAGUAUACAUCAAAUUUUAACAGUACUUUUUACCAAUAAAUUGCAAAAAAAGUUUAUGAAAGAAGUGAGUAAUUACAUUACUUUAAAAGAUAAAAAUGCUUACACCGCGUGUGCCUUUAAUGAUUAUAGUUUGAACGUAUGGUAUUCGUGCUUGUGAUGAUAGUACCCUUCUGCAAAAAUAUAUGUACAUCAUUUUAAUGAAUUUUUGUACAACGAGUUAUUUUCUAACGUUUUGGCAUUUAUUAUUAAAUUGUCGAUUAACAGAAUUCUUCAGACAGUUUGAUGAAAGCGAUGUAUACUAAUAAUAUGGAAGUUAUUACGAUGGAACAAUAAAACAAACCAUAUGGAUGCAUUCGUCACAAGCGAAACAGUUUGAAUCUGUAGAAUGAGGAUAUCAGGCAUUGCUUAAAGGACAAGUCCAACCUACCAAAAAGUUUAUUUGAAUCAAAUUGAAAAAAAUUCUGCUGAGCAUGACAUUGACAAAAUUCAUCGAAUAGGAUGUAAAAUAAGAAAAAUAUGAAAUUUAAAAGUUUUGCCGAUAUAAAACGGUUAUAUUUUCUGGUCGUAAUAGGAAUGAGGGGACUGAUAUCAUCACCCACUCAAGUAUUUUUUUUGUAUUUUCAUGUCAAAUGAUAAUAAUAAUAAUGAUGAUGAUGAUAAUUAUAAUGAUAGUAGUAACCAGCAAUCCAUAGUGAACUAUAUCACAGCGUUGAAUUUUCCCCUCAUUUUCAUGUUAAACAAAUUUCAUUCCUCCCUGAACAUAGGAAAUUACCAUUGUCUAACAUUUUGUGUUCAGUCAAGUUGAUCCUUAUUGUCAAAUCUGAAAAUUCAAUCAAUGAAAAUCAAAAGAAAUAGUGGAUGAGAGAAAGACCAUCCUCUGCAAUUUUCGACAUAUAGCAGUCACACAUACCCCUCCAUAUUAUACCCUGGGAGAUAUUUUUCCUUUGAAAUGUUUAAAAUAAUGAUAAUGAUUCAUUUUUUUUAUAAUGCAUAGACUACUUUAAAAAGUAAUUGCCACGUAAUUCUUAUGUAUAUGUCAUACGUAUGUAACUUUCAUUUAAAGACUGUGUAUUCAAGAAUUUAUCUGUAAUCAAUUAUCUUUACUGAAUGGUUAAACGGCAAAACGAUAAAAACUG